AGAGUUUGAUCCUGGCUCAGAUUGAACGCUGGCGGCAUGCCUUACACAUGCAAGUCGGACGGCAGCGCGGGGGCAACCCUGGCGGCGAGUGGCGAACGGGUGAGUAAUACAUCGGAACGUGUCCUGGAGUGGGGGAUAGCCCGGCGAAAGCCGAAUUAAUACCGCAUACGAUCCUUGGAUGAAAGCGGGGGACCGAAAGGCCUCGCGCUCAAGGAGCGGCCGAUGGCGGAUUAGCUAGUUGGUGAGGUAAAGGCCCACCAAGGCGACGAUCCGUAGCUGGUCUGAGAGGACGACCAGCCACACUGGGACUGAGACACGGCCCAGACUCCUACGGGAGGCAGCAGUGGGGAAUUUUGGACAAUGGGGGCAACCCUGAUCCAGCAAUGCCGCGUGUGUGAAGAAGGCCUUCGGGUUGUAAAGCACUUUUGUCCGGAAAGAAAACUUUCGCCCGAAUACGGUGGAGGGAUGACGGUACCGGAAGAAUAAGCACCGGCUAACUACGUGCCAGCAGCCGCGGUAAUACGUAGGGUGCGAGCGUUAAUCGGAAUUACUGGGCGUAAAGCGUGCGCAGGCGGUGAUGUAAGACCGAUGUGAAAUCCCCGGGCUUAACCUGGGAACUGCAUUGGUGACUGCAUUGCUGGAGUAUGGCAGAGGGGGGUGGAAUUCCACGUAGCAGUGAAAUGCGUAGAGAUGUGGAGGAACACCGAUGGCGAAGGCAGCCCCCUGGGCCAAUACUGACGCUCAUGCACGAAAGCGUGGGGAGCAAACAGGAUUAGAUACCCUAGUAGUCC
Molecule: ribosomal RNA, 791 nt
Filed under: uncultured bacterium
Lineage: Bacteria
Description: bacterial SSU rRNA
Rfam family: Bacterial small subunit ribosomal RNA
Source: RNAcentral